GGAGGGCUCAGUGGUAGAGUGCUUGCCUUGCAUGCAUGAGGCCCUGGGUUCGAUUCCUCAGCACCA
RNAcentral lists this transfer RNA (66 nucleotides) under Dipodomys ordii (Ord's kangaroo rat). It matches the Rfam family "tRNA". Rfam says of the family: Transfer RNA (tRNA) molecules are approximately 80 nucleotides in length. The record is from Rfam by way of RNAcentral. Lineage: Eukaryota; Metazoa; Chordata; Mammalia; Rodentia; Heteromyidae.